Molecule: ribosomal RNA, 305 nt
Filed under: uncultured bacterium
Lineage: Bacteria
Description: bacterial SSU rRNA
Rfam family: Bacterial small subunit ribosomal RNA
Source: RNAcentral
UACCUACGGGGGGCAGCAGUGGGGAAUAUUGCACAAUGGGGGAAACCCUGAUGCAGCGACGCCGCGUGAGCGAAGAAGUAUUUCGGUAUGUAAAGCUCUAUCAGCAGGGAAGAAAAAUGACGGUACCUGAGUAAGAAGCACCGGCUAAAUACGUGCCAGCAGCCGCGGUAAUACGUAGGGGGCAAGCGUUAUCCGGAUUUACUGGGUGUAAAGGGAGCGUAGACGGCAGCGCAAGUCUGGAGUGAAAUGCCGGGGCCCAACCCCGGAACUGCUUUGGAAACUGUGCGGCUCGAGUGCGGGAGCGG